AUACUUACCUGGCUGGGGAGAUACCAUGAUCAAGAAGGUGGUUUUCCCAGGACGAGGCUUGCCCAUGGCACUCGGGAUGUGCUGACCCCUGUGGUUUCCCCAAAUGCAGGGAACUUGACUGCGUAAUUUGUGACAGUGGGGGACUGCGUUUGCACAUGCCCCUU
Artibeus jamaicensis (Jamaican fruit-eating bat) is the source of this 164-nucleotide small nuclear RNA. RefSeq annotates it as U1 spliceosomal RNA. The record is from RefSeq and is a predicted model, not a curated record. The transcript has a single exon. NCBI's taxonomy places the organism in Eukaryota, Metazoa, Chordata, Mammalia, Chiroptera, Phyllostomidae.